Long non-coding RNA from Solanum tuberosum (potato), 3664 nucleotides. RefSeq lists it as uncharacterized. NCBI's taxonomy places the organism in Eukaryota, Viridiplantae, Streptophyta, Magnoliopsida, Solanales, Solanaceae. The record is from RefSeq and is a predicted model, not a curated record. The transcript has 3 exons.
CCUAGUUUUUUUCUUAACCGCACACGACAUACACCACCCCUCCUCUCCGUAACAACAUAGUCCACAUACCCCACUCCUCCCCUCCCUAAGAAAAUAGUUUCACUAAUGAAGUUUUUGAUCUUCUAUCGUUCUAUUAGAGAAUCCAGGGAGCAGCUCAAGAACAUAACUGAAGCACAACUUUUCUCCAGUACAGGUCAAGAAAUUUGAGAAAAAUCUGCAAUACAUGCUUCUCUCAAAUUCUGUUGGAGAUUUGGGUAUUUUUUCGUUUUGCCCAAAUCUGUGUUAACCCUAAAUUUAUCUAGCUGUAGCCCUUAGUUUCAAAUUAGGAGUGUCAGUUUGUUGGAGGGAAAUCAGCCAGAGGACAAUCAACAAACAUAUAAGAUCAAAAUGAACAAGGUACAUCAAUUUCCAUGUUUAUUAAGAAAAAUUAGGUCGAAGGUCUCUCAGUUCCUUCUAUUUAAGGAGGCAACCAGGUGUCUCUAUUUUAAUUGCAGAAAACAUUCUAAUUUUCUUAAAAGAGAACCAAUCUUCUCUUGUUACUGCUUAUCGGCUUAUUGGUCUGCUCAACACUUGUGGUUUCUUCUCUUCAAGGUAAGUUUGUGUUAUUUUCAUUCUCAAUUGCUUUGUGGAAUGUCUACUUCUUUCAAAUUCACUGUUUUCCCUAAUUUUUUAUGAUCCAUUUAUGUUUGUUUUUCCUUUUAUUUUAACUGAAUGUUAUUCUGCUUUGUGCACUAGUGUAGUUUAGUGAUAUCCUUAAUUAUGUUUCUGAUAUAGUUGCAAAAGGUUCGUAAGUCUUUAACCAAGUCACUGUUAUAAAACUUGUGUUCCAUACUUUUAUCAAAAUACUGUUUGCACCAACAACACCUAGAGUGGCCAAGAACUUUGAAUUUUUAGAGGGAACUGUCAACUGGCAAUCUAAUUCUCAAUAGUCUCAUAAUCGAAAAUGAUAUCUUGAAAGUUAUUUUUCAUUUUACGAUGCCAGAUCAUCUUUGAAGUAAUGCAUUGGUUGUUUCUCUAUCUCAUAGACUCCGAAGUAUUGUGACAAGUGAAUUUUCCACUAUAGUGGAUGGACCAAAUUCAUAGAUCUUCUUGUUCAUCAUAAAUUUUGAUGCUCAUGAUUAUCUGAACUACUUAAUAAGGGAAAACUACUUUAAACCGUUCACUUUCCAGUAGCCAUUAUGAAUAAAAUUAGUCACUCUUGGGUUCUUCCUCUAGGGGAGACUAUUGAUGGUGCUAGCCAACUGCACUUUACUAGUCCAGUUAUCUAAAAAAGUUAAAAUCUUCUCAGGCCCAACUUUCCAUAGAAUAUACUUAGCACAACUUUCCUUGAUCGGUAGCAUUCUUCUCCAAGUGUGAAACUGAUCAGGGCCAUUCUUCCUUGAACAAGGGCGAGCUAUUUGAGUGUCUCUAAGCAAAGAUUUAUUUGUAUUGAAGUUCCACUGUAUUUUAGCUGAGAAAGGACCAAAAAUUUCCUAUAACUAACUGAAUCCUACAAUUCUCAUUAGUAGGAAAACAUAUGUGUCCAUUGCGGGAACAUAGUAAAAAAUCAAUAAGCUAGAAUACAUGUGGAAUGUCGUCACGGCAAGGAUUUACAACAUUACUUUCUUUAAUUUUUUAAGCUGGAAGAUGCUGAUAUGGACUAUUGUGUUCUGCACAUAGAGUAAAAUUGUAUCACCUAGUUACAAAAUUCUUGGACCAGGUAUCUACAUCUAUUAACUUUCCUACUGUGUUUCAAGUAAUCCACUCUUUCAGCUAUCUCUUUAUUAUUUGUACAAAUGUAAUCUCUGUAUUUUUAGUUGUCUCUCUGUAUAUUGUUCAGUUUGUUUCUCUCCAAGUGUGGUAGAUUCUAUCUCCCCAUAUAGCUGUAACUAAUUCCUUUUCAUAUUUUUCGAGCGCCUUCCCUUUAUCCAUAUUAACCUUUGUGUUACCUUCAUCUUUUGUACUCCAAUUCGCUAGUUCUGUCUUCAGUGUUGUUUUUUUAUAACUAUCAUUUGAUUUUCAGUACAUAGUGAAUCGUAUGUUGCCUUCAAAGAAUAUUACCAACUACUUUGUACCCCCAAAUGAGUCUGCCAGGAGAUCAAUCGUUGAUCUGGACAACUCCUACACUCUCCAGUAAGCUGAGUAGUGAGUACAUUUUGAUAGUAGAUCCAAUCGAGUUUCCAUCUUAUUAUCUCUAUAUAGACACACUUGUCAUCUUCUAAUUGUAUUUGUAGUCUAAUCUUCCUUUCUUUUGUUAGAAAUUUCUCUUGAUUAGCCAGCUGCUAGCCAGACAAUAAAUUUGUGUCUAGGUAACAUGAGUAAGUAUCAUACCAAGUCUGCUACAUUUAGUCGCAGCUGCCUACGCAUCAAUUGAUUGUGGCUGCAACUCACAUUAUAUGAUCCAUUGGUAGAUAAAUAAUAGGCCUAAUUAGUAUAUAUACCAGUCUCUCUUAGUUAGUAUUGAUGUUACUUUAUUCUGAUAACUAGCAUUUUUUAUAUUCAAAUCACCAAACUAGUAUCUUUACAAGCACCAACUACAAAGUCAAACAGUUAUCUAACAUACUGAAUAAACUAAGAAACAACUAAGAUCAAGUGAAUACGAGGUACUUAGGGAUCAUUGUAGCUAAAACCCAUGAAACUUUGGAGCAGGGCCUUGUUUACUGGAUUUGCUCUAAUAGAACUUAAAUAGGCAACUUACUGAUACUUGCUGGUAUCGGCCCUUAUGGUGCACCGAUGCUGGUACUAGGACUUAACACCACCUUCUAUGCUCAUAAGAAAUAUGUUUAUGUUAUUUCCUCCUUGUAUAUGUUAUUUCAUCCUUAAAAUAUGGGUCAUGCUUUUACAUUGUUAAUGCUUAUAAAACCCUCUUGAACCUAGUAUUGCAUCUUUCUUGACAAUAUGAAAAUGAUACUUGUGUAAUAUUGUAGGAUAAAUUUGUCAGUGACAACAUGAAUGAUCACAAAAAACAUGUCUUGCAACAUGUGCGAAGGUUGUUAAAUAAUGGGAGAGGAUCACUGCACAAGAAUGUGAAGUCUAAGAUAUUCUGUUAUGCUGUAAAAGAUGUGCCAAAAGAGGUAGACAAGGGUGAUUGGGAAUGACUUGUUAGAGAGCAUUUCUUAAGUGAGUAGUCUAAGGUUGAGAUCCAAAAAGUGAUACAAUCUUAAUUCAUCUCUUACAAAUAUUGAGGUCGUUGAGAUGUGCUUUGGACCUCAACGUAAAAAUAAUGUGGUUGGAUUUGUGGUGGGAUGACAUCGAAGGAGUUGAAAAUUGAAAUGGUGGUAACUCUUCAAAGGCUGCAUUUCUAGAUAAGUUGAAUGUAAGUGAAUUGCAUGGAUGAGUUAGAGAAUAAUAGAGAGUAAAUGUCAACGCGUAAAUGAGCUCGAGAACAAAUAUGAACAGCUUGCAAGUGUAGUGUUUUUUCAGCCUUCAUCAACACCAUCUUUCACUGAUCAAUAUAUUGAACUAGUUAACAGCUCAAGAAUUUGAAUAUGAAAUUUUUAUCAUUCAAGAAAGUAAGGAGCAAGUUGAAGUUUGUGAGGAUUUUAUUAGGGGUAGUUUAAAGACUAUCUUAUGUAUAUAUGUUGCAAGUUUUCUUUUUUGAAUUAGAAGAUUAAAGUUGAUGACAUACAACUUGGAUAUAUAUCUUUGUUUAGUUCUUUUUAUUAAUGAUAAAUUCUUAUAUCAA